This 449-nucleotide ribosomal RNA is filed under the name uncultured bacterium. RNAcentral describes it as "partial 16S ribosomal RNA". It matches the Rfam family "Bacterial small subunit ribosomal RNA", at positions 354 to 796 of the family's 1533-position model. The record is from RNAcentral.
GUGGGGAAUUUUGGACAAUGGGCGCAAGCCUGAUCCAGCAAUGCCGCGUGCAGGAAGAAGGCCUUCGGGUUGUAAACUGCUUUUGUACGGAACGAAACGGUCCUGGCUAAUAUCCGGGGCUAAUGACGGUACCGUAAGAAUAAGCACCGGCUAACUACGUGCCAGCAGCCGCGGUAAUACGUAGGGUGCGAGCGUUAAUCGGAAUUACUGGGCGUAAAGCGUGCGCAGGCGGUGCUGUAAGACAGGCGUGAAAUCCCCGGGCUCAACCUGGGAAUUGCGCUUGUGACUGCAGUGCUGGAGUGCGGCAGAGGGGGAUGGAAUUCCGCGUGUAGCAGUGAAAUGCGUAGAUAUGCGGAGGAACACCGAUGGCGAAGGCAAUCCCCUGGGCCUGCACUGACGCUCAUGCACGAAAGCGUGGGGAGCAAACAGGAUUAGAAACCCAGUAGUCC